GGAGAUUCUAAAUUAAACAUAAUGUGCAAUAAAGGUUGUUUAAACAUUAGAUUUCUCUUUACCAGAAGUGUUUAGGAAGGCUCAGCAAGUCAAAUGCAGGAAGGUGUGACUAGGACCGUGUAAACAAAGUGAAUUAACUCCUUAAUGAAAGAUAAUUAAGCAGUGAGACUACAAGGGCAUGAUCUAUACAACAAAACUGCUUCAUUAAGAUAAAGUUGUUA
Molecule: non-coding RNA, 221 nt
Organism: Pelobates cultripes (western spadefoot toad)
Lineage: Eukaryota; Metazoa; Chordata; Amphibia; Anura; Pelobatidae
Source: the annotation of a GenBank genome assembly